AGCCGCGAGGUAGAGCAAAUCUCAAAAAAACAAUCUCAGUUCAGACUGCAGGCUGCAACUCGCCUGCACGAAGUCGGAAUUGCUAGUAAUCGUAGGUCAGCAUACUACGGUGAAUACGUUCCCGGGCCUUGUACACACCGCCCGUCAAACCAUGAGAGUUGGCAACACCCGAAGUCGGUAGUCUAACCGCAAGGAGGACGCCGCCGAAGGUGGGGUUGAUGAUUAGGGGUUAAGUCGUAACAAGGUAGC
Molecule: ribosomal RNA, 249 nt
Filed under: uncultured bacterium
Lineage: Bacteria
Description: partial 16S ribosomal RNA
Rfam family: Bacterial small subunit ribosomal RNA
Source: RNAcentral